CAGCCCCUCGAGUGGUGGGGAUGAUUAUUUGGCCUAAAGCGUCCGUAGCCGGCCUAGCAAGUCUUCCGUUAAAUCCAGCGUCUCAAGCGUUGGACUGCGGGAGAUACUACACGGCUAGAGAGUGGGAGAGGUCAGCGGUAUUCUGGGGGUAGGGGCGAAAUCCUUUGAUCCCCGGAGGACCACCAGUGGCGAAGGCUGCUGACUAGAACACGUCUGACGGUCAGGGACGAAAGCUGGGGUAGCGAACCGGAUUAGAUACCCGAGUAGUCC
RNAcentral lists this ribosomal RNA (270 nucleotides) under uncultured archaeon. RNAcentral's name for it is "partial 16S ribosomal RNA". It matches the Rfam family "Archaeal small subunit ribosomal RNA", at positions 477 to 747 of the family's 1478-position model. The record is from RNAcentral.